UAGGGAAUCUUCGGCAAUGGGGGGAACCCUGACCGAGCAACGCCGCGUGAGUGAAGAAGGUUUUCGGAUCGUAAAGCUCUGUUGUUAAGGAAGAACGAGUGUGAGAAUGGAAAGUUCAUGCUGUGACGGUACUUAACCAGAAAGGGACGGCUAACUACGUGCCAGCAGCCGCGGUAAUACGUAGGUCCCGAGCGUUGUCCGGAAUCAUUGGGCGUAAAGGGUACGUAGGCGGGUAAGCAAGUUAGAAGUGAAAUCCUGUAGCUCAACUACAGUAAGCUUUUAAAACUGCUCAUCUUGAGAUAUGGAAGGGAAAGUGGAAUUCCUAGUGUAGCGGUGAAAUGCGCAGAUAUUAGGAGGAAUACCGGUGGCGAAGGCGACUUUCUGGACUUGAACUGACGCUGAGGCACGAAAGCGUGGGGAGCAAACAGG
Molecule: ribosomal RNA, 429 nt
Filed under: Bacteroidota bacterium
Lineage: Bacteria; Pseudomonadati; Bacteroidota
Description: Bacteroidetes bacterium partial 16S ribosomal RNA
Rfam family: Bacterial small subunit ribosomal RNA
Source: RNAcentral